Long non-coding RNA from Hordeum vulgare subsp. vulgare (domesticated barley), 376 nucleotides. RefSeq lists it as uncharacterized. The record is from RefSeq and is a predicted model, not a curated record. The transcript has 2 exons. Lineage: Eukaryota; Viridiplantae; Streptophyta; Magnoliopsida; Poales; Poaceae.
AAUGCAAUCAGGACCAUCGAGUCUGAACUGGGCUCUCGAAUGUCUGAUCUAUUUGCUGAUAUUAGUCCAGAGCCAAUUGCAGCAACAUCACUGGGGCAAGUAUACAAAGUCAUGCAGCUCAUCUACACUCUGGAGAGCUUGUCGCAAUCAAAGUUCAGAGGCCUGGAAUGGCACCCUUGCUGACCCUCGAUGCACUUCUAUUCAAUAUGAUUGGAGGACAGCUAAAACGAUUUGCUAAGGCCCGCAAAGAUUUAUUGGUAGCUGUUAAUGAAAUUGUAUUUUCUUCAUUCUUAUCUUCACUGAUUAUUAUAAUUUUGUCCAAGUUGUUUUUUUCAGAUUACUUUCACACAUAUUAAAUAUAGUGUUUGUCUCGCUA